CAAGUCGAACGGUAACAGGAAGCAGCUUGCUGCUUCGCUGACGAGUGGCGGACGGGUGAGUAAUGUCUGGGAAACUGCCUGAUGGAGGGGGAUAACUACUGGAAACGGUAGCUAAUACCGCAUAACGUCGCAAGACCAAAGAGGGGGACCUUCGGGCCUCUUGCCAUCGGAUGUGCCCAGAUGGGAUUAGCUAGUAGGUGGGGUAACGGCUCACCUAGGCGACGAUCCCUAGCUGGUCUGAGAGGAUGACCAGCCACACUGGAACUGAGACACGGUCCAGACUCCUACGGGAGGCAGCAGUGGGGAAUAUUGCACAAUGGGCGCAAGCCUGAUGCAGCCAUGCCGCGUGUAUGAAGAAGGCCUUCGGGUUGUAAAGUACUUUCAGCGGGGAGGAAGGCGAUAAGGUUAAUAACCU
RNAcentral lists this ribosomal RNA (415 nucleotides) under Enterobacter sp. Its description in RNAcentral is "bacterial SSU rRNA". It matches the Rfam family "Bacterial small subunit ribosomal RNA", at positions 58 to 469 of the family's 1533-position model. The record is from RNAcentral. Lineage: Bacteria; Pseudomonadati; Pseudomonadota; Gammaproteobacteria; Enterobacterales; Enterobacteriaceae.